AGAAAACAAUUUUCAUUAUUAUCGAAACACAUCAUCUAUACGGAUAUUUCCAUAUAAGAUCUCAGAAAACAAUUUUCAUUAUUAUCGAAACACAUCAUCUAUACGGAUAUUUCCAUAUAAGAUCUCAGAAAACAAUUUUCAUUAUUAUCGAAACACAUCAUCUAUACGGAUAUUUCCAUAUAAGAUCUCAGAAAACAAUUUUCAUUAUUAUCGAAACACAUCAUCUAUACGGAUAUUUCCAUAUAAGGUACCGUAUUAAACAAUUUGAACAGUGAUA
Long non-coding RNA from Teleopsis dalmanni, 277 nucleotides. RefSeq lists it as uncharacterized. The record is from RefSeq and is a predicted model, not a curated record. NCBI's taxonomy places the organism in Eukaryota, Metazoa, Arthropoda, Insecta, Diptera, Diopsidae. The transcript is spliced from 4 exons.